This 26-nucleotide non-coding RNA is filed under the name Rattus norvegicus (Norway rat). Lineage: Eukaryota; Metazoa; Chordata; Mammalia; Rodentia; Muridae. The record is from RNAcentral.
UGAGCAACCCCUGAAGUCACUGUGCU